GAAACGCUCAAGUUUAAAAAAUGAAAGUAAACCCAGACAGCAAAAAAAAAAAAGAGAAAUGAAUGGAACCAAAUGCUCUGUAAAAGAUUGAUUCCUUAAACUGUUCUCUGAUGAGCCACAAGAGAUGGCACUCGUGUCGAAGACAGCCUUGCUGCGAAAUGCGAAAAGUUGGAGAAGAUGUAGCUACUCCCCCGAAAUGACCACGCCAUCAGACAAAAAGCCCAUCCAAUGUUGCAUAUGUAAACUGUGAAAGAGGGUUCAGUCUUAUGAAGUGGAUAAAGAGUGAAUUCGUGCUCAGGCCUGAAAGGUGAGACCCUCUCCGACCUCCUGAAAAACCUCCUCCGCUCACUUGACAUCAAAGACUUGGAUCUUACACAAGCCGUCGACAUCUGGCAUGCUGACAGCUUGCGCUCACGCAGGCCUCAGUUUGUUCCGCAAAGUCCGCAAACACGGAACUUAAAAGAACUGAGGCCGGCUCAGGUGACGACUCUUUGACGAAAUGAGUUCGGAGAGCUCUGAAGACAUCUGAUUCUGAUGGUUUGAUCCCAAAUUUGGAAAUCAUCAAGUUUGUUAUUUCUACCUUAGCACUUUGGGUCUGUAACUUAAAAAUAUGGCAUCUCCACACAAACAUGUUAAAUCUUAAAACAUUUAAUGAAAUUUCUUGGAAGGAAAUGUUUGUACUUUUUGGGUUUUUUUUCAUUGAAAUGUCAUCAAUUCCAAUAAAAUUACCAUAUAAAUUCAGUGGCACUCAUAAUUUCUUGUUUUGAAUUGGCGAUUUUGAAAAAAAAGUGUGACGACAUUUAAGGCCAGGAUGAUAUAGUUGGGUGGGUUGUUGGUCUGCUGCAUCGGACCCCUAUGCGUUGUGGUCAAGGCGAUUACAUUUUUUUUUAAAUGGUGCGUUCCACCAUUACUAAGUACAGUACAAAUGCUAAAUGGCUACAAUAUCAUUUUCACACUAUUGAAUGUGUUUAUUGACCAUUAGAAUGUGUUGGCUCUUUGAUGAAGUUGUCUGUAAAAUGUUUGUUCAAAUUGAGACCACAGCAUAUGAAAGAAACAUAACCGUGUCAAUUAUCAGUUCUCCAGAGGAAGUGCUACUAUUGUGUCAUUCUGUUACAUCCCUACUUAUGAGAAAAUAUUUUGAUAUUUUUCAAAUGAGUUGUGAGGUCAAGUCACAUUAAAAGUGAAAAAAUGUGUUAAAAGUCCACCUCCACUCCAUGUAUUAUCCUGAGUCAGAUGCACUUGUGUGAAGUCGUGAGCUGCAUAAAGACACCGGUCCACCCCCAUACAAUCAGUAAGACUCAAACUUGUAACAUGGCCAAGACCAAAGAGCUGUCCAAAGACACCGGACACAAAAUUGUACAACUCCACACGGCUGGAAAGGGCUACGGAGAAAUUUUCAAGCAGCUUAGUGAAAAAAGGUCCAUUGUUGGAGCAAUCAUUAGAAAAUGGAAGAAGCUAAACAUGACUGUCAAUCUCAAUCGGAGUGGAGCCCCAUGCAAGAUAUCACCUUGUGGGGUCUCAGUGAUCCUUAGAAAGGUGAGGAAUCAGCCGAGGACUACACGACAGGACUUGGUCAAUGACCUGAAAAGAGCUGGGACCACCGUUUCUAAGGUGACUGUUGGUAAUACACUAAGACAUCAUGGUUUGAAAUGAUGCAUUCCACGGAAGGUUCCCUUGCUCAAACCAGCACAUGUCGAGGCCCUUCUUAAGUUUGCAAAUGACCAUUUGGAUAUUACAAAGGAGUCAUGGGAGAAAGUUUUUUGGUCAGGUGAGACCAAAAUGGAACUUUUGGGUCAUGAUUCCACGAACCAUGUUUGGGGGAAGAUGAAUGAUGAGUUCCAUCCCAAGAACACCAUCCCUACUGUGAUGCAUGAUGGGGGUAGUAGCAUCAUGCUUUGGACAGGACGACUGCACUGUAUUAAGGAGAGGAUGACGGCGGCCAUGUCUUGUGAGAUUUUGGGGAACAAGACCAUUGAAGAUGGGUCGUGGCUGGGUCUUUCAACAUGACAAUGACCCGAAGCACACAGCCAGGGAAACUGAGGAGUGGCUCCGUAAGAUGCACAUCAAGGUUCUGGCGUGGCCUUGCCUGUCUCGAGACCUAAACCCACCAGAAAAUCUUUGGAGGGAGUGGGCCAAAAUCCCUCCAGCAGUGUGUACAAACCUGGUAAACAACUACUGGAAAAGUUUGACCUCUGUACUUGCAAACAAAGGCUACUGUGCUAAAUUUUAACAUUGGUUUUCUCAGGUGUUCAAAUACUUACUUGCAGCUGUAUCACACAAAUAAAUCAUUAAAAAAAUCAUACAUUGUUAUUUCUGGAUUAUUCUUUUUAGAUGAUCUCUCUCACAGUGGACAUGCACCUACGAUGAAAAUUUCAGACCCCACCAUGAUUUUUAAAUGGGGGAACUUGCAAUAUAGCAGGGUGUUCAAAUACUUAUUUUCUUCACUGUAUAUCCACUGUAAAUAUUGCACAGGGUUGAUCUAGUCUUGGCAUUUGCUUAAUUGUGUUGUCUUAAGAACUGUAGGAGUUCCAAGGCUGUCCCCACAACUUAC
Long non-coding RNA from Syngnathoides biaculeatus (alligator pipefish), 2551 nucleotides. RefSeq lists it as uncharacterized. NCBI's taxonomy places the organism in Eukaryota, Metazoa, Chordata, Actinopteri, Syngnathiformes, Syngnathidae. The transcript is spliced from 3 exons. The record is from RefSeq and is a predicted model, not a curated record.